Molecule: ribosomal RNA, 514 nt
Filed under: uncultured bacterium
Lineage: Bacteria
Description: partial 16S ribosomal RNA
Rfam family: Bacterial small subunit ribosomal RNA
Source: RNAcentral
GACGAACGCUGGCGGCGUGCCUAAUACAUGCAAGUCGAGCGGACCGAAGGGAGCUUGCUCCUUUAGGUUAGCGGCGGACGGGUGAGUAACACGUGGGCAACCUGCCCUGCAGACUGGGAUAACUUCGGGAAACCGGAGCUAAUACCGGAUAACACCGAAAACCGCAUGGUUUUCGGUUGAAAGGCGGCUUUUAGCUGUCACUGCAGGAUGGGCCCGCGGCGCAUUAGCUAGUUGGUGAGGUAACGGCUCACCAAGGCGACGAUGCGUAGCCGACCUGAGAGGGGGACCGGCCACACUGGGACUGAGACACGGCCCAGACUCCUACGGGAGGCAGCAGUAGGGAGUCUUCCGCAAUGGACGAAAGUCUGACGGAGCAACGCCGCGUGAGCGAAGAAGGUCUUCGGAUCGUAAAGCUCUGUUGUCAGGGAAGUACAAGUACCGUUCGAACAGGGCGGUACCUUGACGGUACCUGACGAGGAAGCCACGGCUAACUACGUGCCAGCCGCCGCGGUAA